Molecule: ribosomal RNA, 119 nt
Filed under: Pteropus alecto (black flying fox)
Lineage: Eukaryota; Metazoa; Chordata; Mammalia; Chiroptera; Pteropodidae
Source: RNAcentral
GUCUAUGGCCAUGCUACCCUGAACAAGCCCAAUCCUGUCUGAUCUCGGGAGCUAAGCAGGGUCGAGCCUGGUUAGUACUUGGGUGGGAGACCAUCUAGAAAGACCGGGUGCUAAAGGCA